AGUUGAUUUAAUAACCCACUUAAGGUGGACUUAAAUAGGCUUUGAGAGAAAUUUAUUUCUCUUUCCUAGAAGGAUCUAAUUUCCUAUUAAAGAGGGAAUCUACAUCAAAAUAGGAAGUAGUCAUGCGUUUCCUAAAUCAAGAAGAUCUCUACACCUACUGCCCUUUCUUACGAGCAGCCCAACAGGUAUGAGGGCAUUUGUGAAGCCAAAAAUAAGCACAAGGCGACACGUGGAUUUUUGGAUGAAGAUGACAAAUUUACCCUCAAGGCAUACCAGGUCUCCUACACGCGAGCAAUGGAGAAUCAUCCAUCAACCAAAUUAGAAGUACCCAAAAUAGGUAACAAGUUCAAAUUUGUCUCAUCCAUUCUCAUUCCAUAACCUCCAAAAAAACUCCCAAAACAUUUCUUUUAUUAUGAUAAUUAGCCAAUUAAUAUAUUUAUACCUAAUUAAUAUAUU
This 456-nucleotide long non-coding RNA is filed under the name Malus domestica (apple). RNAcentral's name for it is "long non-coding RNA (MDOM_LNC005075)". Lineage: Eukaryota; Viridiplantae; Streptophyta; Magnoliopsida; Rosales; Rosaceae. The record is from RNAcentral.